UCCCUAACACGCGAACAUUCUGUGGUUGC
Molecule: small RNA, 29 nt
Filed under: Bombyx mori (domestic silkworm)
Lineage: Eukaryota; Metazoa; Arthropoda; Insecta; Lepidoptera; Bombycidae
Description: ovarian small RNA-7305
Source: RNAcentral